AUUGAACGCUGGCGGCAGGCCUAACACAUGCAAGUCGAGCGGAUGAAGGGAGCUUGCUCCUGGAUUCAGCGGCGGACGGGUGAGUAAUGCCUAGGAAUCUGCCUGGUAGUGGGGGAUAACGUCCGGAAACGGGCGCUAAUACCGCAUACGUCCUGAGGGAGAAAGUGGGGGAUCUUCGGACCUCACGCUAUCAGAUGAGCCUAGGUCGGAUUAGCUAGUUGGUGGGGUGAAGGCCUACCAAGGCGACGAUCCGUAACUGGUCUGAGAGGAUGAUCAGUCACACUGGAACUGAGACACGGUCCAGACUCCUACGGGAGGCAGCAGUGGGGAAUAUUGGACAAUGGGCGAAAGCCUGAUCCAGCCAUGCCGCGUGUGUGAAGAAGGUCUUCGGAUUGUAAAGCACUUUAAGUUGGGAGGAAGGGCAGUAAGUUAAUACCUUGCUGUUUUGACGUUACCAACAGAAUAGGCACCGGCUAACUUCGUG
This 484-nucleotide ribosomal RNA is filed under the name uncultured bacterium. RNAcentral's name for it is "partial 16S ribosomal RNA". It matches the Rfam family "Bacterial small subunit ribosomal RNA", at positions 30 to 507 of the family's 1533-position model. The record is from RNAcentral.